RNAcentral lists this non-coding RNA (47 nucleotides) under unclassified sequences. The record is from RNAcentral.
CCCUGACAGCCAUUGGCUGACACACCCAAAGACAGGAGAUCAAAAUG